Molecule: long non-coding RNA, 508 nt
Organism: Myxocyprinus asiaticus (Chinese sucker)
Lineage: Eukaryota; Metazoa; Chordata; Actinopteri; Cypriniformes; Catostomidae
Exons: 3
Source: RefSeq, a predicted model, not a curated record
CAGACCCCCUCGCCUCGCUUCUCUCUGACAUUUUCUCCGCUGCAUGUGUGUGUGUGGCGCAAGUUGACGAGUCUGACAGACAGUCAAGGAGGAAAGGAGAUGCGCACGUGCAGGACCAGAGCCCGUAUCUUUGAGGCUGCUGAUGCAACAUGCUGUUAGUAGCACCACAGGAAAAGUAAUCCAGCACUAACCCUGAUUCAGGACAGCACCUUGGGCUCCAUCCCCAGAGUCUUGGCAUUACCUCAGGGCCUCUCAGUUGGUGUCAAGUCUUGUAUCCUUUCUUCCCACAAACUCUGCCACUUAUUUUUGGUAUCUGUCAAAAUGUAAGAAUCAUGGAAUUUGGGGGGAACAAGGACCACUUCUCUUUAAUACAACUCUGUGAUUUUAAUGGAAGCUGAGCAAGAAUUAUGUACCUCAUUAGGUGUCUCAUUAGGCAAUGUUAAACAAAUGUUGUGUAAGUGCACAACAUAAAUCAUUUUAUUUGUAACAACAUGAAGCCUUGUUUUCA